CAGAGGCAGGAUUCUGAAGAUGGUCAGCAGUGAUGGAGAGUUUUGAAGUUCCAACAAAGCUUAGAAGAAUUGCUACUGGUGUUCCAGAUGAUAUGACUUUCUCGAGAAAUCUUUAGACAAGUGUCCCAGGGAUUGAAGCAGUGGAAAAGGCUGAAACAGGAUCCUGAAGAGCUGUAGAGCUGUAUGUGUCUGAGCUACUCAAACGCCCCUCGCUUUGUCUCAAGGGACCGUCCAUCUGUUCUCUCUGUCUGACACACUCUGAAACCAAACAUGCUGUGACCAACUUGGCUCAGUGUGAGAAACUGUCAGCUUGCUCAAGAAGGUAGUAACAUACCUCCUCCAGAGACUUCUUUGGGAUGAGCGCUACGAACAGUUCCAGAAACAACAUGUCGUACCUGUCCUUACCUUUCAGAAGCUUUGUGGAGGCUUCUGGGAAACAUUUGUUUUAGAGAUGUACAUGUGGGUCUCACCUCUUUCCCUUCAAGCUUUCCUUUCUCCUUGCUAUAGAAUGUGGACACUGUAUUAUGACGGCAGGGCCAAAUUAAAAUCGUGUGAGAUAAAAGACUAGAGACUGCAGACACCUUAGCUUUGAUGAAGAUGGGCCAAAGAGCUCCUGGUAAUCGGAUUUGAAGAUGGAUUACAAAUCAAAAUAAACAACCAAACUUGUGUGUA
This is a long non-coding RNA of Mastomys coucha (southern multimammate mouse), 672 nucleotides long. RefSeq lists it as uncharacterized. Lineage: Eukaryota; Metazoa; Chordata; Mammalia; Rodentia; Muridae. The record is from RefSeq and is a predicted model, not a curated record. The transcript is spliced from 3 exons.